This 302-nucleotide ribosomal RNA is filed under the name uncultured Legionellales bacterium. Its description in RNAcentral is "bacterial SSU rRNA". It matches the Rfam family "Bacterial small subunit ribosomal RNA", at positions 31 to 331 of the family's 1533-position model. The record is from RNAcentral. Lineage: Bacteria; Pseudomonadati; Pseudomonadota; Gammaproteobacteria; Legionellales.
GAACGCUAGCGGCAUGCUUAACACAUGCAAGUCGAACGGCAGCACGAGGAGCUUGCUCCUUGGUGGCGAGUGGCGGACGGGUGAGUAACGCGUAGGAAUCUACCUUAUAGUGGGGGACAACCCGGGGAAACUCGGGCUAAUACCGCAUAAUGUCUAAGGAUCAAAGCAGGGGACCUUCGGGCCUUGCGCUAUAAGAUGAGCCUGCGUCGGAUUAGCUAGUUGGUGGGGUAAAGGCCUACCAAGGCGACGAUCCGUAGCUGGUCUGAGAGGACGACCAGCCACACUGGGACUGAGACACGGCC